UACGUAUGGUGCAGGCGUUAUACGGAUUUACUGGGUGUAAAGGGAGCGCAGGCGGCACGGCAAGCCUGAUGUGAAAGCCCGCGGCCCAACCGCGGGACUGCAUUGGGAACUACCGGGCUGGAGUGCCGGAGAGGUAGGCGGAAUUCCUAGUGUAGCGGUGAAUGCGUAGAUAUUAGGAGGAACACCAGUGGCGAAGGCGGCCUACUGGACGGUGACUGACGCUGAGGCUCGAAAGCGUGGGGAGCAAACAGG
This 252-nucleotide ribosomal RNA is filed under the name uncultured bacterium. RNAcentral's name for it is "partial 16S ribosomal RNA". It matches the Rfam family "Bacterial small subunit ribosomal RNA", at positions 524 to 776 of the family's 1533-position model. The record is from RNAcentral.